ACGAACGCUGGCGGCGUGCUUCACACAUGCAAGUCGCACGGAAAGGCCCUGCUUUUGUGGGGUGCUCGAGUGGCGAACGGGUGAGUAACACGUGAGUAACCUGCCCUUGACUUUGGGAUAACUUCAGGAAACUGGGGCUAAUACCGGAUAGGAGCUCCUGCUGCAUGGUGGGGGUUGGAAAGUUUCGGCGGUUGGGGAUGGACUCGCGGCUUAUCAGCUUGUUGGUGGGGUAGUGGCUUACCAAGGCUUUGACGGGUAGCCGGCCUGAGAGGGUGACCGGCCACAUUGGGACUGAGAUACGGCCCAGACUCCUACGGGAGGCAGCAGUGGGGAAUAUUGCACAAUGGGCGGAAGCCUGAUGCAGCAACGCCGCGUGCGGGAUGACGGCCUUCGGGUUGCAAACCGCUUUCGCCUGUGACGAAGCGUGAGUGACGGUAAUGGGUAAAGAAGCACCGGCUAACUACGUG
Molecule: ribosomal RNA, 467 nt
Filed under: uncultured bacterium
Lineage: Bacteria
Description: partial 16S ribosomal RNA
Rfam family: Bacterial small subunit ribosomal RNA
Source: RNAcentral